RNAcentral lists this long non-coding RNA (952 nucleotides) under Homo sapiens (human). RNAcentral's name for it is "HSALNT0406419". Lineage: Eukaryota; Metazoa; Chordata; Mammalia; Primates; Hominidae. The record is from RNAcentral.
CUCCAAACCAUGCAAAAAGGACCUAACAAAUGAUGCCCUUCUAGAAGAGUGAAGACCUCCUGGCAAUGUUUUCUUUAACCCAUGAGGUGCUGCAGCAGUUCACCAGAGCACGGAAGUGGCACAUCCGGGACUGAGAACUGGCAAGGCCAGAGGGCAGAAGCAAGUCACACAAGCCAGUGGCCCAAAAUCACGUCAUCUACCUCCGUUGCACUGAGCUAAAACCAUGCCCAGGAACUGGCGUCCCAAAUCUAAACAGUGAGGCUUGAGAAGCGGGCUGGAUUCCACGGUGCGCAAGUGUGCAGAGGACAUAAGCCGAGAAGAGGCCCUUGGAGAGGACAGAAAUAACAACAUCGUAGGCAGACAGUUGUGGGUUCUGCCAGUCACGCUUUCGCACAAGUCACAGCACUCAGCCUCAGUAAGCAGAGGAAAAUAACAGAAAACAAAGUUGGAAAGCAUGGCUGAGGAGAGGGAGAUAAACCGAGAUAAAUCGUGAAGAGUGGUUGAAAUAAGCUACCGACAGGCUUGACCCGCAGCAGGUGCCUGAUUCUGCUGGUUCCCAGUCCAGCCCCAGCUCAGGUGCACAAGGCGUCCGGGGGACUGCCAGCACUGCACAGCCCUUUCCAUACCUCCUGGAUGGUGACCUUUACCUCCGUUCCACCGUGGCCACCCAUACCCUGGGCCUUUGUCAUCUCUCGAAGGUUCCAACUGCACUCUGAAAUCCCACUCCCUGACUGCAGCUUCCAAAGCUGCCAGGAAACUGCCAGCUUCCAGGCCAGCCACUCAACAGCCUCCAAGACUCACUUUCCUCAUCUAUAAAAUGGGGUUUCUAAUAUCUGCUUUGCCCAGCACACAGAGCUGCUGGGAGAAUCAAAUAUGAUUAUGUAUAUGAAGAUACUUCACGAAUGAUGACAUUCUAGUAAGCUAGCAAAUAGUUGUCCCAGCCAUACCCACU